This 518-nucleotide ribosomal RNA is filed under the name Eueides isabella. RNAcentral's name for it is "partial 16S ribosomal RNA". The stretch from base 391 to 518 matches the Rfam family "Bacterial large subunit ribosomal RNA", at positions 2473 to 2601 of the family's 2925-position model. Lineage: Eukaryota; Metazoa; Arthropoda; Insecta; Lepidoptera; Nymphalidae. The record is from RNAcentral.
GUCUUUUUGAUUAAUAAUUUAAAGUUUAAUCUGCCCCCUGAUUAAAAAUUAAAGGGCUGCAGUAUAUUGACUGUACAAAGGUAGCAUAAUCAUUAGUCUUUUAAUUGAAGACUUGUAUGAAAGAUUUGAUGAAAUAUAAACUGUCUCUAAAUUAUAUAUUGAAAUUAAUUUUUUAAUUAAAAAGUUAAAAUAAUUUAAAAAGACGAGAAGACCCUAUAGAGUUUUAUAAUUAUAAUUUUUUUUUAUUAUUUAUAUAAAAAUUGAAUUAAAAGAAUUAUAAUUAUUUUAUUGGGGUGAUAGAAAAAUUAAAAGAACUUUUUUUAUAAUAANNNCAUUAAUAAGUGAAUAAAUGAUCCAUAAUUUAUGAUUAAAAGAAAAAAUUACCUUAGGGAUAACAGCGUAAUUUUUUUUUUUAGUACAAAUAAAAAAAAAAGGUUGCGACCUCGAUGUUGGAUUAAGAUAAAAUUUAAAUGCAAAAGUUUAAAAUUUUGAUCUGUUCGAUCAUUAAAAUCUUACAU